CAAGGAAUAUUGGUCAAUGGGCGCAAGCCUGAACCAGCCAUGCCGCGUGCAGGAAGACGGCCCUAUGGGUUGUAAACUGCUUUUGUCAGGGGAUAAACCCCCGCUCGUGAGCGGGGCUGAAGGUACCUGAAGAAUAAGCAUCGGCUAACUCCGUGCCAGCAGCCGCGGUAAUACGGAGGAUGCAAGCGUUAUCCGGAUUCAUCGGGUUUAAAGGGUGCGCAGGCGGAUUGGUAAGUCAGGGGUGAAAUCCCACAGCUCAACUGUGGAACUGCCUUUGAUACUGUCAGUCUAGAGUAUAGUUGAAGUGGGCGGAAUGUGUCAUGUAGCGGUGAAAUGCUUAGAUAUGACACAGAACACCGAUCGCGAAGGCAGCUCGCUAAGCUAUAACUGACGCUCAUGCACGAAAGCGUGGGGA
This 415-nucleotide ribosomal RNA is filed under the name uncultured bacterium. RNAcentral's name for it is "bacterial SSU rRNA". It matches the Rfam family "Bacterial small subunit ribosomal RNA", at positions 355 to 767 of the family's 1533-position model. The record is from RNAcentral.